Molecule: ribosomal RNA, 254 nt
Filed under: uncultured bacterium
Lineage: Bacteria
Description: partial 16S ribosomal RNA
Rfam family: Bacterial small subunit ribosomal RNA
Source: RNAcentral
UACGUAGGGGGCAAGCGUUGUCCGGAUUUACUGGGCGUAAAGCGCGCGCAGGCGGUCCCGUAAGUCGGACGUGAAAGCCAGGGCUCAACUCUGGAAGUGCGUCUGAUACUGCGAGACUGGAGUACUGGAGAGGAGAGCGGAAUUCCCGGUGUAGAGGUGAAAUUCGUAGAUAUCGGGAAGGAACACCAGUGGCGAAGGGCGGCUCUCUGGACAGAUACUGACGCUGAGGCGCGAAAGCGUGGGAAGCAAACAGG